CGCCGCUGCCCAGACUGCUACACUUCACCCCGCCUCCCAGAAUGGAUUUAUCAUGUUACUGAGUGAGCCGUGUAUCAAGUGAAAGUGCACGCAUAAUGGACAUCUCCGGGCCGUAACUUCACCUUGAUCGGGGACAUAGGCGAGUGACUGAGGUGAUCACCCGUCAUGUUACCGUGGUGCUGUGGGAAAUGUCCUCCCCAGUGUGGGUGUCCUGGCCUCCAUGGAUAGAGAACACAAACCAUCAGCCUGGAGAAAUCUGAAACGUAAAAGCUUCGCGUGUCUGUUGCACUGCAUUGCCCACUAGACAACUGCUGCCGUCACAGUGGAAAGUCUGUAUCAGGAGUACAACAACUGCUUCACGUGCGUCUGAUCCGGGAGGACCGCCGGGAGCUGCUGUUGCUGCUUGGUAUGGGGCCCGAGUGUUCACCUGGCCCCAGCGUCCUUGUGUGACGUCAUGGCCAGCGUGGGUCCGUGACGUCACUAUCCUUGUGUGUGACGUCUUAAGCUAUGUAGAUGAGUGACGUCGCGUGUGUGUGUGUGUGUGUCCGUGUGUCCGUGUUUGUGUGCGUGUUUGUGCUUAUGGAUUAUGAAACUGACCAACCUCAUUAAUCAAGGCAUAAGUAACACACACACACACACACACACACACACACACACACACACGUGGAGGGCAAAGUGUUACGUGCACUGGCGCUCACUCACCUCUGGCUCACCCUUACCUGUCUGAACUCGCUCUUACCUACUCCUUAAUCACCUUUUAUGUGCCACUUUCUGACUGUUCUUACUCUCCUGUUUAUCAUAUAAUUCACUUCUUAUUGCUUUCUCUUACCUACUUCAUUGUCUUAAUUACCUUUUCUCGCCACCUAACACCCCCUGAACCUCUUUCCUUAUGUCUGUCUGUCUGUUUCCUGCUACGUAUUUCCAUCCUUUAUUUCGCCUUUUCCUCUCCUUUGCUUUCAUCUUUUUUUUUUUUUACCUUCGCUUGCUCAACAUUUUCCUCUCCUCUCUCGUAUUUCAUUUGUUUUAUGCAGACCCACCCAUUUAAUCGUGCUUUUAUCUACGUUUUUUUCUUCCUCCUCCUCCUCCUCCUCCUCCUCCUCCUCCUCCUCCUCCUCCUCCUCCUCCUCCUCCUCCUCCUCCUCCUCCUCCUCCUUUCUUCCUUCAAACUCCUUCUCUUACUCACCAUAUUCUUGACCUCAAUUGUUCCGCCCCCACCUCUCCCACCCCUCCCCGGUUAUCGUCUCCUCUCCACCAUCCCUAUUGCUGCUUCCAUUCUCCCUAGCCUUUAAUAUCCUCCCUCUCUGUGCCACAUCCACCCCCAUCUCCACCUGUACUCCGCCCUGACCUCAAUCACCGCAUCAGUCUGUGCCGCUAAGUGCGAUCGCAGCAACAGGAAUUGUAUGCAUGCCUGUUUUCUCUGUCUGGCUGUCUGUCUGUCUGUCUGUCUCUGUCUGUCUCUGUCUGUCUGUCUCUGUCUGUCUGUCUCUGU
Portunus trituberculatus (swimming crab) is the source of this 1489-nucleotide long non-coding RNA. RefSeq lists it as uncharacterized. Lineage: Eukaryota; Metazoa; Arthropoda; Malacostraca; Decapoda; Portunidae. The record is from RefSeq and is a predicted model, not a curated record. The transcript has 3 exons.